Molecule: ribosomal RNA, 497 nt
Filed under: uncultured bacterium
Lineage: Bacteria
Description: partial 16S ribosomal RNA
Rfam family: Bacterial small subunit ribosomal RNA
Source: RNAcentral
GAUGAACGCUGGCGGCGUGCCUAAUACAUGCAAGUCGAGCGAACAGAUAAGGAGCUUGCUCCUUUGACGUUAGCGGCGGACGGGUGAGUAACACGUGGGUAACCUACCUAUAAGACUGGGAUAACUUCGGGAAACCGGAGCUAAUACCGGAUAACAUUUUGAACCGCAUGGUUCUAAAGUGAAAGAUGGUUUUGCUAUCACUUAUAGAUGGACCCGCGCCGUAUUAGCUAGUUGGUAAGGUAACGGCUUACCAAGGCAACGAUACGUAGCCGACGUGAGAGGGUGAGCGGCCACACUGGAACUGAGACACGGUCCAGACUCCUACGGGAGGCAGCAGUAGGGAAUAUUCCGCAAUGGGCGAAAGCCUGACGGAGCAACGCCGCGUGAGUGAUGAAGGGUUUCGGAUCGUAAAACUCUGUUAUUAGGGAAGAACAAACGUGUAAGUAACUGUGCACGUCUUGACGGUACCUAAUCAGAAAGCCACGGCUAACUACGUG